Molecule: ribosomal RNA, 182 nt
Filed under: uncultured Enterobacter sp.
Lineage: Bacteria; Pseudomonadati; Pseudomonadota; Gammaproteobacteria; Enterobacterales; Enterobacteriaceae
Description: partial 16S ribosomal RNA
Rfam family: Bacterial small subunit ribosomal RNA
Source: RNAcentral
GCAGGACCAGAACGUGCUUCUUCUCAGCAUGCCGCGUGUGUGAUGAAGGCCUUCGGGUUGUAAGUACUUUCAUCGGGGAGGAAGGCGUUGAGGUUAAUAACCUCGGCGAUUGACGUUUCCCGCACAAGAAGCACCGGCUAACUCCGUGCCAGCAGCCGCGGUAAUACCGGAGCCAGCCGCCC